GAUUUCUGGUUUGAUGUGCCUGUCCCGCCACGGUAACGUGCGUGAGUGACGGCGUAUGUCUGCCAUCCUUCUAGAUUCGGCAGGCUACUCUUUACUGAGCUGGUCUGUCUGUUCUAGAUCUUUUACUUUGAAAAAAUUAGAGUGUUUCAAGCAGGCUUUUGCUAUGAAUACAUUAGCAUGGAAUAAUGAGUUAGGACUUCGGUUCUAUUUUGUUGGUUUCUAGGACUGAAGUAAUGAUUGAUAGGGACAGUUGGGGGUGCUAGUAUUCAGUGCGAAGAGGUGAAAUUCUUGGAUCCACUGAAGACUAACUUAUGCGAAAGCAUU
RNAcentral lists this ribosomal RNA (324 nucleotides) under uncultured Limnofilidae. RNAcentral's name for it is "SSU rRNA". The stretch from base 114 to 324 matches the Rfam family "Eukaryotic small subunit ribosomal RNA", at positions 743 to 955 of the family's 1831-position model. The record is from RNAcentral. Lineage: Eukaryota; Cercozoa; Limnofilidae.